CGUAGGGCGCAAGCGUUAUCCGGAAUUAUUGGGCGUAAAGAGCUCGUAGGCGGUUUGUCGCGUCUAUCGUGAAAGUCCGAGGCUCAACCUCGGAUCUGCGGUGGGUACGGGCAGACUAGAGUGAUGUAGGGGAGACUGGAAUUCCUGGUGUAGCGGUGAAAUGCGCAGAUAUCAGGAGGAACACCGAUGGCGAAGGCAGGUCUCUGGGCAUUAACUGACGCUGAGGAGCGAAAGCAUGGGAGCGAACAGGAUU
Molecule: ribosomal RNA, 253 nt
Filed under: uncultured bacterium
Lineage: Bacteria
Description: partial 16S ribosomal RNA
Rfam family: Bacterial small subunit ribosomal RNA
Source: RNAcentral